ACCGGUUCAAAAGAACGAUUCGCUCACGAACCGAACAUCACUAAAGCUAGUUGCUGCGAUGGUUUAAACACAAUUAUAUUCUACCAGAAAGCAUGUGUUUUAUUCAUAAGGUCUACACAAAGUCCUUUUAAAGGGCAUAUAGCCAUUUUAUAUAUAGCCAUUUUACAGCUCACUUGACCUGGUCAAACCAACUAAACCCUAUUGUUCACCACGUAAAAAUGGUAAUAAAUGUAUGGGGCCUCCUUCAAACAAUAACAUAGAAGUACCUGAUCCCUGAAGAAAUACCCUUAAAGCCCAGCGUGACCGGCCUGUAGACUGUGGGAACUGCACUGUUGACUCUUGCCCCAUAAAACUGCUUACAAUUACAGAGAGAAGGACAACCAGCCGUAAAUUAGACGGAAAUCCAGCUGCCCAUCACUGCACAGUGCUUUAUAAUCAAGCACAUCAGACUUUGAGAAGGAGGUUACGCCUGAGAGACUGAAGUGAAAAGGUCUGUCCUCUGAUUUAUGACCUUCUGCUGCCAUCGGAUCUUCUCCUGCACCGGGAUGGUUUUUUGUGAAGCACUGAAACAGACCCUCCCAGAAACCCCCAAGAGUUUUAGGUUUCCGAAGCCCAUCGAACCUUCCUCCACAACACCAUUAUCAUGCAUUAUUUUCAUUUGGAUUAUCUUAGUUCACUUCCAUUCAAGUUCUCCUCCGUUCCGACUGCAGUCCUCGUCAUGUUUAUGCCGAAGGAGGGGACAGAUCAUUCCGGCCCGUUAUCCGUCCUGACUCAUGCACGGCACUGGCAUAUUGGAGCUGCUGGCCCAGAAGAAUUAGGCCAGAUUUGCCACACUUCACAACCCCAGCCGGGCCUGAUGCACAUUCCCUCAAAAUGCACGAGGACGAUUGUGAACAGAGUCUCAUUAUACCACCGUGGUACAAUGGAGGUGGAAAUCUUGGCACGCUUCUUCUUUACAAAUCCAAAAGCCUUUUCAGACAGAGUUCAGAUGUGUGUAGUGCUCUUUGUCUGAUGAAUGCUUUGUAGGCUUCUCAGACUGUAUAAUUGUGCUUUUACAGUUAUUACGAGACCACCCACGACACCCCAGCAUCAAGACUCAAACCUAAACUUACCCCAAACCUGAUCACUAUUCCUCUGCUGCAUGCAUUGAACACAAGUGCUGUAUGCAAAGCUUCAGUUUUUUGAGGGAAACACGUUUCCUCUGCCUUUGCUCAUAAUUUAGAAAUAAAAGGCAUUUUUCCUACCCUGAUUUUAGCCCUCUUAUUUGAACGCUCUGUUUUAAGGGGCGUGUCUGCUGUGAGACUUCAGUGUAAACGCCCACUGCUGUGAUUGGCUGACAUCUUUCCAAAAUGAAAUAGCUACGUAUUACUCUCUCGAAAACUUUUAGCUUGUUUUUACUAUUAACUCUCAAGGUUAACUAAUCAUAAAAAGUGUUGAUUAUAGCAUUAAACUUAAAUCUAUGGCA
Molecule: long non-coding RNA, 1465 nt
Organism: Megalobrama amblycephala (Wuchang bream)
Lineage: Eukaryota; Metazoa; Chordata; Actinopteri; Cypriniformes; Xenocyprididae
Exons: 4
Source: RefSeq, a predicted model, not a curated record